GACGAACGCUGGCGGCGUGCCUAAUACAUGCAAGUCGAGCGAAGUUUUUCUGGUGCUUGCACUAGAAAAACUUAGCGGCGAACGGGUGAGUAACACGUAAAGAACCUGCCUCAUAGACUGGGACAACUAUUGGAAACGAUAGCUAAUACCGGAUAACAGUAUUUCUCGCAUGAGAGAUAUUUAAAAGUUGGUUAUGCUAACACUAUGAGAUGGCUUUGCGGUGCAUUAGCUAGUUGGUGGGGUAAAGGCACACCAAGGCGACGAUGCAUAGCCGACCUGAGAGGGUGAUCGGCCACACUGGAACUGAGACACGGCCCAGACUCCUACGGGAGGCAGCAGUAGGGAAUCUUCCGCAAUGGGCGAAAGCCUGACGGAGCAACGCCGCGUGAGUGAAGAAGGAUUUCGGUUCGUAAAGCUCUGUUGUUAGGGAAGAAUGGAUAUGUAGUAACUAUACAUGUAAGAGACGGUACCUAACCAGAAAGCCACGGCUAACUACGUG
RNAcentral lists this ribosomal RNA (499 nucleotides) under uncultured bacterium. RNAcentral's name for it is "partial 16S ribosomal RNA". It matches the Rfam family "Bacterial small subunit ribosomal RNA", at positions 28 to 507 of the family's 1533-position model. The record is from RNAcentral.